UGGUGACACCAGUUGUAUGGUGCAAAAGCUAGCACAAUUUUAAUUGGCGAGCUUUGUUUUUUUGGAUUUGUGAACUUAUAAGCCAUAGAAUGUUAGUUUUUAUACUUCCGUUUUCUACCUUUUGUAGUUGAACAUUCCCUAUGAAUUGAGGAGAUGUUGCUUUUCAACUCAAACUGUACCCAAAGCAACCAUGUAUAUUGUGAUUUUGAGAGUUGGGUUUUGUUCUUCAAUGGGCAGUUGCCACUUGCUAGAGUUCAUGGUAUGUAAUAGAUACAUAUGGAUGUGCUAAUUUGUUUGUGGAUACAUCACUUCAUAUUUAAACUCCCCCCUAUUCUUCGUCUCUUAAUGCAUGUAUGUGGGCUGCCAGGCAAAGCCUAGCUUGAAGUUGAAUCCGCCCGAAUAGCACCUGCCCAACAAGGACAUAGCAAUCAAACCAUUGCAAAAGAAGAAAAAUGGCAUCAUUAGAUGUUUGGGUUUUGAGUAGGUCGAGAGCCCCAAGUUUGAAUUUAAUGUCAUUUGGCCGAACCUCCAUCAUUCUUUCUUUACCUCGUCGAGAGAGAUUUGGAGAUGAAGCUUUCAAAAGGACCAUGGAUAACUACAGCAGCCAUUGCAAACCCUAAAAAUCUCCCUUGAGUUCAUCACAUCUUCUUCUCUGUAUCCAAUUUUGAAUCAUUUGUUCAGACUCUUAAGGAAGAAGGAUCUUGGCAGAUACAAUUACAUUGGUGGAAUAAACUCUACCAAGAGCUUUUGCUUUGUCUGACUAGAAUAAACUCUACCUUUUGCUAUGUCUAAUCCUUUGGCAAUUGUAUAAAAAACCCUAUAGCCAAAGUCAAAGUCAUGCAAGUAGCUGAAUAACUUGAAACCUUUUUUUCAGUGCAAAAACUUAUCUAGGCCAUAACUUCUACAACUAUCAACUUCUGAUGAUACACUUUAUCAAGCUUAUCCAUAUAGCCUUUGCUAUGAUCAACAACAGCCAUAAUUUAAACAAAAUCCAAAACGCAUCUAUACAAUGGGCAUGAAUGAUGUGAUGUGCACGUCGGCAUGCACCUA
Long non-coding RNA from Rhododendron vialii, 1050 nucleotides. RefSeq lists it as uncharacterized. The record is from RefSeq and is a predicted model, not a curated record. NCBI's taxonomy places the organism in Eukaryota, Viridiplantae, Streptophyta, Magnoliopsida, Ericales, Ericaceae. The transcript has 3 exons.